Molecule: ribosomal RNA, 809 nt
Filed under: Stictococcus formicarius
Lineage: Eukaryota; Metazoa; Arthropoda; Insecta; Hemiptera; Stictococcidae
Description: partial 28S ribosomal RNA
Rfam family: Eukaryotic large subunit ribosomal RNA (bases 361-809)
Source: RNAcentral
GGGGGUAAACGGACAGAGCCCGUGAAUCCGGGCGGCGGAAUUCAGGGCGGCCGGGCAACCGAUCGUCUGAUUUUUCCGUCGCCGGCUGCCCGCGAGGGUGGCGUGGAUGUCGCGAUCCGUUCGACGUCGGUCUUUACGUCCGGAAGAACCUGCCGCGGAGCUCGCGUGUCGGAGGGCCGCGUUCGUCUUUCGGGGCGGGCGUGUGUCACCGGCGCGUGAACGCGGCGGACCUCUGGCCGACUCGUCGGACGGUACGAGGUAGUGCACGGUGGCCGGGCGUUGUUACCUCGCGUACACGACGCCCCGGUGCCGAUCAGCGACGAUUCUUCGGGCCUCUUUCCGACCCGUCUUGAAACACGGACCAAGGAGUCUAACGUGCGCGCGAGUCGCGGGGUAUCGUGCGUGGGACGCGUUCCUUCGCGGGAGCGCGUACCGCGUUCGUUACGCGUACUAAACCCGUCGCAUCCGGCGUCGCGCGGUCGCUUCGGUGGCCGCGUGUUCGUCGGGCUAGCAAAAGGCGUAAUGAAGGUGAAUUCACCGGACUCGUGCCGGUGUGCGGGAUGAUGGCGAACCGGAACACGUUUCGAGGCUUCGACCUCGACCGGGAGCUCGCAAUCCCGAGGCGUUCCAACGGCCCGCUUCGGCGGACCGGGGCGCACUCGUAGCGUGUGCGUUGGUACCCGAAAGAUGGUGAACUAUGCCUGGUCAGGAUGAAGUCAGGGGAAACCCUGAUGGAGGUCCGUAGCGGUUCUGACGUGCAAAUCGAUCGUAUGAACUGGGUAUAGGGGCGAAAGACUAAUCGAACCAUC